RNAcentral lists this ribosomal RNA (990 nucleotides) under Mesobacillus subterraneus. RNAcentral's name for it is "bacterial SSU rRNA". It matches the Rfam family "Bacterial small subunit ribosomal RNA", at positions 36 to 1014 of the family's 1533-position model. The record is from RNAcentral. Lineage: Bacteria; Bacillati; Bacillota; Bacilli; Caryophanales; Bacillaceae.
CCAAUGCGGCUGCCUAAUACAUGCAAGUCGAGCGGAUCUUCAUUAGCUUGCUUUUGAAGAUCAGCGGCGGACGGGUGAGUAACACGUGGGCAACCUGCCUGUAAGACUGGGAUAACUUCGGGAAACCGGAGCUAAUACCGGAUAAUCCUUUCCCUCACAUGAGGGAAAGCUGAAAGACGGUUUCGGCUGUCACUUACAGAUGGGCCCGCGGCGCAUUAGCUAGUUGGUGAGGUAACGGCUCACCAAGGCAACGAUGCGUAGCCGACCUGAGAGGGUGAUCGGCCACACUGGGACUGAGACACGGCCCAGACUCCUACGGGAGGCAGCAGUAGGGAAUCUUCCGCAAUGGACGAAAGUCUGACGGAGCAACGCCGCGUGAACGAUGAAGGCUUUCGGGUCGUAAAGUUCUGUUGUCAGGGAAGAACAAGUACCGGAGUAACUGCCGGUACCUUGACGGUACGUGACCAGAAAGCCACGGCUAACUACGUGCCAGCAGCCGCGGUAAUACGUAGGUGGCAAGCGUUGUCCGGAAUUAUUGGGCGUAAAGCGCGCGCAGGCGGUUCCUUAAGUCUGAUGUGAAAGCCCCCGGCUCAACCGGGGAGGGUCAUUGGAAACUGGGGGAACUUGAGUGCAGAAGAGGAGAGCGGAAUUCCACGUGUAGCGGUGAAAUGCGUAGAGAUGUGGGAGGAACACCAGUGGCGAACGCGGCUCUCUGGGUCUGUAACUGACGCUGAGCGCGAAAGCGUGGGGAGCGAACAGAUUAGAUACCCUGGUAGUCCACGCCGUAACGAUGAGUGCUAGUGUUUAGAGGGAUUUCCGCCCUUUACUGCUGCAGCAAACGCCAUUAGCACUUCGGCUGCGUAGUUACGUCGGCAAGGCUGGAAACUCAAUGAAUGACCGGGGCCCGCACAGCGGUGAACAUGUGAUUUAUUCCGAGCACGUCGACAUCUACCAGGUCUGGACAUCGUUGACAUCUACAAUUGUCGUUGC